UGGGGAAUAUUGCACAAUGGGCGCAAGCCUGAUGCAGCCAUGCCGCGUGUGUGAAGAAGGCCUUCGGGUUGUAAAGCACUUUCAGCGAGGAGGAAGGUGGUGAACUUAAUACGUUCAUCAAUUGACGUUACUCGCAGAAGAAGCACCGGCUAACUCCGUGCCAGCAGCCGCGGUAAUACGGAGGGUGCAAGCGUUAAUCGGAAUUACUGGGCGUAAAGCGCACGCAGGCGGUUUGUUAAGUCAGAUGUGAAAUCCCCGGGCUCAACCUGGGAACUGCAUUUGAAACUGGCAAGCUAGAGUCUCGUAGAGGGGGGUAGAAUUCCAGGUGUAGCGGUGAAAUGCGUAGAGAUCUGGAGGAAUACCGGUGGCGAAGGCGGCCCCCUGGACGAAGACUGACGCUCAGGUGCGAAAAGCGUGGGGAGCAAAACAGGAUUAGAUACCCUGGUAGUCCACGCUGUAAAACGAUGUCGAUUUGGAGGUUGUGCCCUUGAGGCGUGG
This 498-nucleotide ribosomal RNA is filed under the name uncultured bacterium. RNAcentral describes it as "partial 16S ribosomal RNA". It matches the Rfam family "Bacterial small subunit ribosomal RNA", at positions 355 to 842 of the family's 1533-position model. The record is from RNAcentral.